Molecule: ribosomal RNA, 282 nt
Filed under: uncultured prokaryote
Description: partial 16S ribosomal RNA
Rfam family: Bacterial small subunit ribosomal RNA
Source: RNAcentral
UACGUAGGGGGCAAGCGUUGUCCGGAAUGAUUGGGCGUAAAGGGCGCGUAGGCGGCUUUAUAAGUCUGGAGUGAAAGUCCUCUUUUCAAGGGAGGAAUUGCUUUGGAAACUAUAGAGCUUGAGUGCAGGAGAGGUUAUCGGAAUUCCCGGUGUAGCGGUGAAAUGCGUAGAUAUCGGGAGGAACAUCGGUGGCGAAGGCGGGUAACUGGACUGCAACUGACGCUGAGGCGCGAAAGUGUGGGGAGCAAACAGGAUUAGAUACCCCGGUAGUUCCUGAGCGGG